ACACGUGGUAGAGGAGCUUUCUGUACAGGUUGAAGUCAUACCGUAAGGAGUGGUGGACAGUACAGAAGUGAGAAUGCUGGCAUAAGUAGCGAAAAACAAGUGAGAAUCUUGUUGACCGAAUAUCUAAGGUUUCCUGGGGAAGGCUCGUCCUCCCAGGGUUAGUCGGGACCUAAGCCGAGGCCGAAAGGCGUAGGUGAUGGACAACUGGUUGAUAUUCCAGUACCACCAUAAUGCGUUUGACAAAUGGGAUGACGCAGGAGGAUAGGAUGUGCGCACUAUUGGAUGUGCGUCUAAGCACUUAGGGUGUUAAGUAGGCAAAUCCGCUUAACAUUAAGCCUGAGGUGUGAUGGGGAGCCUAUUUUGGCGAAGUAUCUGAUUCCACGCUGCCAAGAAAAGUCUCUAUGGAGCAAAGUGGUGCCCGUACCGCAAACCGACACAGGUAGAUGAGGAGAGAAUCCUAAGGUCGUCGGAAGAAUUAUUGCUAAGGAACUCGGCAAAUUGACCCCGUAACUUAGGGAGAAGGGG
RNAcentral lists this ribosomal RNA (525 nucleotides) under Clostridium haemolyticum NCTC 9693. RNAcentral describes it as "bacterial LSU rRNA". It matches the Rfam family "Bacterial large subunit ribosomal RNA", at positions 1221 to 1748 of the family's 2925-position model. The record is from RNAcentral. Lineage: Bacteria; Bacillati; Bacillota; Clostridia; Eubacteriales; Clostridiaceae.